Nycticebus coucang (slow loris) is the source of this 137-nucleotide small nuclear RNA. RefSeq annotates it as U4 spliceosomal RNA. The record is from RefSeq and is a predicted model, not a curated record. The transcript has a single exon. NCBI's taxonomy places the organism in Eukaryota, Metazoa, Chordata, Mammalia, Primates, Lorisidae.
AGCUUUGUGCAGUGGCAGUAUUGUAGCCAAUGAGCUUUAUCUGAGUUGUGAUUAUUGUUAUUAAAAACUUUUCCCAAUACUCUGCCGUGACAGCUUGCAGUAUAGAUGGCACUAGGAAUUUUUUUUCUUUUUUGAGA